Molecule: unclassified non-coding RNA, 314 nt
Filed under: uncultured fungus
Lineage: Eukaryota; Fungi
Description: partial contains small subunit ribosomal RNA, internal transcribed spacer 1, and 5.8S ribosomal RNA
Rfam family: Eukaryotic small subunit ribosomal RNA (bases 1-73)
Source: RNAcentral
UCAAACUUGGUCAUUUAGAGGAAGUAAAAGUCGUAACAAGGUCUCCGUUGGUGAACCAGCGGAGGGAUCAUUACCGAGUUCUUUGACUCACAACCCUUUGCGAACGCUACCUGCCGUUGCCUCGGCGGUGCGGCCCCGGGCCCCCUGCUCGCUGGGGGGGCGCACGGAACCAAGGCCCCCGCCGGAGGACCCCAAGACGCAGCUUCUUGCCGAGUCUCUCUCUGAGGUGGCCCUCGCGGGCCUGGAAAACAAGAAAAUGAAUCAAAACUUUCAACAACGGAUCUCUUGGUUCUGGCAUCGAUGAAGAACGCAGC